UACGGAGGGGGACAGCGUUGAUCGGAAUUACUGGGCGUAAAGCGCGCGUAGGCGGAUCUGUAAGUUGGGGGUGAAAUCCCGAGGCUCAACCUCGGAACUGCCUUCGAUACUGCAGAUCUCGAGUCCGAGAGAGGUGAGUGGAAUUCCUAGUGUAGAGGUGAAAUUCGUAGAUAUUAGGAAGAACACCAGUGGCGAAGGCGGCUCACUGGCUCGGUACUGACGCUGAGGCGCGAAAGCGUGGGGAGCAAACAGG
RNAcentral lists this ribosomal RNA (253 nucleotides) under uncultured bacterium. RNAcentral describes it as "partial 16S ribosomal RNA". It matches the Rfam family "Bacterial small subunit ribosomal RNA", at positions 524 to 776 of the family's 1533-position model. The record is from RNAcentral.